Molecule: small nucleolar RNA, 107 nt
Organism: Abrus precatorius (Indian licorice)
Lineage: Eukaryota; Viridiplantae; Streptophyta; Magnoliopsida; Fabales; Fabaceae
Source: RefSeq, a predicted model, not a curated record
AUACAAUGGUGAAGACAUCUUCUUAAGAGCUCUUUAUACCUCUCCAAUGCUUCAUAUAGUGACUCCCUUUCUUGCUGCACAAAAUAUGUGAUUUCUCGUCUUAGUUU